AGUGUGUGGGGUGAGGCGAGACG
This 23-nucleotide microRNA is filed under the name Caenorhabditis elegans. The record is from RNAcentral. Lineage: Eukaryota; Metazoa; Nematoda; Chromadorea; Rhabditida; Rhabditidae.